Molecule: ribosomal RNA, 522 nt
Filed under: uncultured bacterium
Lineage: Bacteria
Description: bacterial SSU rRNA
Rfam family: Bacterial small subunit ribosomal RNA
Source: RNAcentral
ACUAAAUAGAUACCCGGGUAGUCCACGCCCUAAACGAUGAUUACUCGACAUACGCGAUACACAGUGUGUGUCUGAGCGAAAGCAUUAAGUAAUCCACCUGGGAAGUACGUCCGCAAGGAUGAAACUCAAAGGAAUUGACGGGGGUCCGCACAAGCGGUGGAGUAUGUGGUUUAAUUCGAUGAUACGCGAGGAACCUUACCUGGGCUAGAAUGCUAUCUGACUGUACCUGAAAGGGUAUUUUGUAGCAAUACACAGAUAGUAAGGUGCUGCAUGGCUGUCGUCAGCUCGUGCCGUGAGGUGUUGGGUUAAGUCCCGCAACGAGCGCAACCCCCAUCUUCAGUUGCCAGCACGUAAUGGUGGGAACUCUGAAGAAACUGCCGUCGUAAGACGCGAGGAAGGAGGGGAUGAUGUCAAGUCAUCAUGGCCUUUAUGCCCAGGGCUACACACGUACUACAAUGGGGAGGACAAAGGGCAGCGACCUGGUAACAGGAAGCAAAUCUCAAAAACCUCUUCUCAGUUCAG